AUUGAACGCUGGCGGCAGGCUUAACACAUGCAAGUCGAGCGGGGUGAUGGUGCUUGCACUAUCACUUAGCGGCGGACGGGUGAGUAAUGCUUAGGAAUCUGCCUAUUAGUGGGGGACAACAUCUCGAAAGGGAUGCUAAUACCGCAUACGUCCUACGGGAGAAAGCAGGGGAUCACUUGUGACCUUGCGCUAAUAGAUGAGCCUAAGUCGGAUUAGCUAGUUGGUGGGGUAAAGGCCUACCAAGGCGACGAGCUGUAGCGGGUCUGAGAGGAUGAUCCGCCACACUGGGACUGAGACACGGCCCAGACUCCUACGGGAGGCAGCAGUGGGGAAUAUUGGACAAUGGGGGGAACCCUGAUCCAGCCAUGCCGCGUGUGUGAAGAAGGCCCUAUGGUUGUAAAGCACUUUAAGCGAGGAGGAGGCUCUUUUGGUUAAUACCCAAGAUGAGUGGACGUUACUCGCAGAAUAAGCACCGGCUAACUCUGUGCCAGCAGCCGCCGUAA
RNAcentral lists this ribosomal RNA (503 nucleotides) under uncultured bacterium. RNAcentral's name for it is "partial 16S ribosomal RNA". It matches the Rfam family "Bacterial small subunit ribosomal RNA", at positions 30 to 523 of the family's 1533-position model. The record is from RNAcentral.